Molecule: microRNA precursor, 75 nt
Filed under: Choloepus hoffmanni (Hoffmann's two-fingered sloth)
Lineage: Eukaryota; Metazoa; Chordata; Mammalia; Pilosa; Megalonychidae
Description: miRNA (ENSCHOG00000016115.1)
Source: RNAcentral
ACCAACCAUCCUGGUUUGCCUGGGAAUGAGGGAAUUCCUGGCACAUGGGAUUAUCAAUGCUAAAACUGGCCAAGU